AGUGAACGCUGGCGGUAGGCCUAACACAUGCAAGUCGAACGGCAGCACAGAGGAGCUUGCUCCUUGGGUGGCGAGUGGCGGACGGGUGAGGAAUACAUCGGAAUCUACUCUGUCGUGGGGAUAACGUAGGGAAACUUACGCUAAUACCGCAUACGACCUACGGGUGAAAGCAGGGGAUCUUCGGACCUUGCGCGAUUGAAUGAGCCGAUGUCGGAUUAGCUAGUUGGCGGGGUAAAGGCCCACCAAGGCGACGAUCCGUAGCUGGUCUGAGAGGAUGAUCAGCCACACUGGAACUGAGACACGGCCCAGACUCCUACGGGAGGCAGCAGUGGGGAAUAUUGGACAAUGGGCGCAAGCCUGAUCCAGCCAUACCGCGUGGGUGAAGAAGGCCUUCGGGUUGUAAAGCCCUUUUGUUGGGAAAGAAAUCCAUCUGGUUAAUACCCGGAUGGGAUGACGGUACCCAAAGAAUAAGCACCGGCUAACUUCGUGCCAGCCGCCGCCGUAA
Molecule: ribosomal RNA, 505 nt
Filed under: uncultured bacterium
Lineage: Bacteria
Description: partial 16S ribosomal RNA
Rfam family: Bacterial small subunit ribosomal RNA
Source: RNAcentral